This is a long non-coding RNA of Homarus americanus (American lobster), 2396 nucleotides long. RefSeq lists it as uncharacterized. Lineage: Eukaryota; Metazoa; Arthropoda; Malacostraca; Decapoda; Nephropidae. The record is from RefSeq and is a predicted model, not a curated record. The transcript is spliced from 2 exons.
GACGUCUUAAUCGAAUAUGAUAAUAGAUUAAUGGUAGGAAUGAACGGUGCUACAAGAAAAUAAUACCCAAAGUUUACAUUAAUAUUAGUCUUAUAUCUUGAUCCAACAAUAUGCUCUCUCUCUACUUUAGAAGUACCGUAUGCUUAACAAAUAGAUUAUAAUAUCUUAUGACUACCAGAAAACACUGAAAUACCCUUACAACCUGUGGGUUUUUUCACGAUACAAAAUACCAUGUCCUUCACCAAUAAUACCCACAGAGAGAGAGAGAGAGAGAGAGAGAGAGAGCUUCCUUUUCUUGUUCCAAUACGAUUUCACGAACUCAUCCACAUCUUGUUUAUAUUCUUCAUUUAAACCACUGCAAUAUUCUCACAUUGAAAACUGUUUAAAAAAAUCAUAUAUUAAUGUUCUUUAAUCAUAUCAGAUACUAAAACAUAUCACAAAAUUGGAAUAACAAAACAUAUAUCACAAACUUAAGAAGACUUUAACCUUCAGUGAAUAUAGUGUGUCAAGAGAAAAUGACACACUUUAUGGGAUGACUAAGGAAAACAUAAGUACAUAACAUGAUUAACUGCCCUAACGCUAUUUGGUUAGGUUAGGUAUGUUAGGAUAUAAGGGAGGGAUUUCUUAGAUGUAUUUUCUUAUUAAUUUAUCCCCCUGCUGUUAACUUUUAAGAUCUUCAACCUUUUCUCUCAAAUUCUUGCUUCAUUAAGUAUAGAUGUUAACUAUAGCUUAGUUUUUACUUCAUAUAUAACCUCUGACCUUUGGUAGCAUGGCUCAAGGGUUAGGACACAGGGGUACUGUAAUUCUGGUAUCAAGCUAUGGACAAGAAUGAAGGUAAAUACCGAAGGAAAAUAAUACCCCUAAUCAUACAAAUAAAAUGGAUUGUUAAAAUGAAAUUAGAUUCCAGUAGCACUCAACUACAGGAUCAACUCCCUGGCUUUACCCAUUUGGUACUGUUAAUUAGGUACACUUUUCACUUACACCAAUACUGGGUGUACAUUUACAAGAACACACCACCUUAUACUCUCACAUACAGCACCCUUGAGCACCAUUAAUGCCAGUUAUCUUAGAACCUUAGUUCUCAAUAGUACAGGACUCAGUAACAGCACCAAAACUAAUACAUUAAAACACAGGAUUAGUUGCUUCUGUACGCUACUGUGAUACAUUUGCCGAUAUCCAUAUAGUAAUUACACAGCCAAAUUCUAGCCUUACUGAGUGGUGGACUCCUCCAUAACAAUGAUGGGGGCUGGCGGUGUUUGCUCGGCCUGUGAGAUCAGCCGGCUGGACAAUGAACGCGUCUGGCGAACGUCUGGGCAGUUGACUGAGCUCCAGGGUAGAUGACUGGAGUAUACAACGGAGAGCAGCUUCUGGAACACUCACCCCGAGACUUCCUCCCUGUUGAGUCCAAACUACAGGAGCCAUCCAUCACAGUUAAGUGUGUCCUGGAGGCCAUCACCACCAUCUUCCAGCAGGAGAAAUUUUCAUGAAAUAUAAUCCAGACUUAAUUGGUUACUAUAGGGAAUGAGACACUGCAGCUUGCUCUAUUCUUUAUCUUCAGGUUACUUACUAGUACAGUAUAUUGUCUAUUACCUUAUCCAAGAUUUUUCAGUAAUGAAUUCCUUUUAAUGUUACUUUGUCAGUAUAUAAGGAGAGAAUAUUGUACAGGACAGAUGGAAGCACUGUGGUACUGUACCUUGUGAUUUCAAAUUUUUUUUUGUCAUAUAUUAAUUCAUAGUUGGGUUAAGAGAGUCACCAUGUGAGGGUCCAGCUGAGUGCUAAUGAGUUUUCUUAACUUAAUUGGUGUCUGCAGUACAGUACAGUACAGUAUUACAGUACUUUAGAUAUAACUUCUCAACAGAAAAGGAAUAUUUUGUACGGGAUUAGUGAUAAGAGCAGCUGUUAUUCUUAAGACAUAUAAGGUCAGUUGCAGAGGAUAAAUGACAUAAUCAACCAUUUUCACCCCGACAGUCAGUGUGUUAAGGAAUAGGAACAUUUUAAUACAAUGUUUGGCAAUAUUAUCCAUAAUAAAUCAUGUCAGUAUUUAUUACCACUAUACAGUACAGUAUAUUGAUGACUAGAUUAAGGUGAUCAUUUGAAUGUUAUAAUAAAUCAUACAAGUCACAGUGAAUACUUUAUGUUACAAAGGGAAGUUUUAUAUUUUAUUAGGACUACAUCUUUACACGCUAUUCUUAUGUUAACAGUUUUACUUUAGUUUUCUUAUUGUGUUUUUAUUACAGAGCCUUACAUCACACAGACAGUAUUUACCAUCAGUCCACUCAGCUCUAUUACAGACAAAAUAUUACUGUCAAUAUAGCAACUACAGUAGUGUGCUUCUAAGCCUGUAACCUAUGUAUCCUCUUAAAAUAGCAAGUUACUGUAUUGUGUGUGUGUGUGUG